AUCUCUCUCUCUCUGCUUGUCUAGGUGCUGACAGCUGCAGCCCAAUGUUGCCAGUAAAAAACCCAGCUCAGACAUCAACUUCCCCAGGGCCUGAGCUCACCUGCUCUGCAGAACCACAAGGUCUGUGUCUGAGUCAAAUGUGAAAUCAUUCCAGCCUCAGCAACAGUAGCACGAGUUCCAUCACUCAGGAGCACUCUGGACUUAUAGCAAAGAAAGUGCUGGCUGAGGUAGUCCUGCUGCCAGGGGCAAAGUUUCCUGGAGACCCAGAAGUGAACAGCAGUGCUGUGAUGUGCACAGGCUAAAGACAGCAGAGAGGUUGAGUAUGGUGGAAGAGGAGAGGUCGCUGGUGCCUCUUGGACCAGCACGUGAAGAAGGAAGAGGAGUCACGGAGGUGGUUGGUAUGGCAAAAAAAAAAAAAAAAA
Molecule: long non-coding RNA, 422 nt
Organism: Chinchilla lanigera (long-tailed chinchilla)
Lineage: Eukaryota; Metazoa; Chordata; Mammalia; Rodentia; Chinchillidae
Exons: 2
Source: RefSeq, a predicted model, not a curated record